UCUAGCGUUUCAACUGGUCGCAGUGAACAAAAUGGGUUGAAUAUGGAGAAAUCUUUCCAGAAAUUUCAAGAAAUCAUUGCUUCUCUUCCUCCUGUUAUUCUCGCGGUCAGUUUCUGUUGCAAUUCUCUUUUUUUUAUUCAGUUAAUUUCCGUCCAUUUUGCAUAUCAGUUUUCAGUAUUGUUGAUGAGAUUGUUUCGACGAAUUUCGAAGAAUGGUGUUGAUGAUUAUUUUCUAGCUGGUUAUUGCAUUAUGAUUUACAAUAGGGUCAGUUUUUGGAAACUAUUGAUUCUGCAAUUUGAAUCUUCCUUGAAAAGUUUAUAUUUGUGCCGAGGUUUAUUGUUCUUGUAUUGCUAUUCGCUGCUUGAUAUCCAUAAAAGACUAAAUUUUCUAUGUCGAAGCGUUGAUGCUUCGCAAAAUGUUGUUCAUUUGCACAAAGCAAGCACUGCUGCUAGCUUGCAGAAAGCAAUCACAGUAGUGAUUGUACAGUCUGGUCAGUCUCUUGAUGAGGUAUGUUCAAAUAAAGUAUAUAUAUACACAUCUUUAAUUUAUUUACAAUGUGCUAAAAAAUUUCUAUUGAUGAGUCUCUUCUUUAAAUGCAGCUAUGGGCACGAGGAAUAUAUGCAGGGAGAUGGUAGUGAAUAGGGUAUUGAUGCUUUGCAUUGAGACCUGAAAUUUCUCUAUUGUGCAUGUCUCAACUGUCAAUCACUACUGUGAUUGCUAAGAAUGUGAAGGAGUUAUUGUUAUACUUCACUAUAGAGCAAUAUCUUUACCAUUCUAUGUCUGUGAAGCAAACGAAAAAGUUUAGUGUGUAAGCAAGAACUAGACAUCCUAGUUUAAUGAUUCUGUAGUUUAAAAUAGGGCUUUGCCAUCUUUCUGUGACAGCGGAUAAAGCAAGGAACAUUGAUCAUGCUAAAAAGGCUAUUGAGGAUGCUGCUCAAAAGGGUGCCAAGCUAGUUGUUUUGCAUGUACUCGAAAAUAAUAAUAAAAGUCCAACAGAUCAAGAACAAGAGGACACUACUUGAGGCUUCAAAUUGACUACCAUCAUUGUUUUGCUAGAUCUUAGUAUUAGUUAGUUUUGUAAGGCUACAACUACAUUUUUAGUGUGUUUUAAUUUUGUGGUAUUUUUAGUAACAUAUUAGUUAUGAAGUAUUAUUGAUGAACGUGUGUAGGAAUUUUGAUUGCGCGAACUACAUUUAUGAUUUAU
Beta vulgaris subsp. vulgaris (sugar beet) is the source of this 1204-nucleotide long non-coding RNA. RefSeq lists it as uncharacterized. The record is from RefSeq and is a predicted model, not a curated record. The transcript has 3 exons. Lineage: Eukaryota; Viridiplantae; Streptophyta; Magnoliopsida; Caryophyllales; Amaranthaceae.